CUACGGGGGGCUCCAGUGGGGAAUAUUGGACAAUGGGCGAAAGCCUGAUCCAGCAAUGCCGCGUGAGUGAUGAAGGCCUUAGGGUUGUAAAGCUCUUUUACCCGGGAAGAUAAUGACUGUACCGGGAGAAUAAGCCCCGGCUAACUCCGUGCCAGCAGCCGCGGUAAUACGGAGGGGGCUAGCGUUGUUCGGAAUUACUGGGCGUAAAGCGCACGUAGGCGGCUUUGUAAGUUAGAGGUGAAAGCCUGGGGCUCAACUCCAGAAUUGCCUUUAAGACUGCAUCGCUUGAACACGGGAGAGGUGAGUGGAAUUCCGAGUGUAGAGGUGAAAUUCGUAGAUAUUCGGAAGAACACCAGUGGCGAAGGCGGCUCACUGGACCGUUGUUGACGCUGAGGUGCGAAAGCGUGGGGAGCAAACAGGAUUAGAUACCCGAGUAGUC
This 439-nucleotide ribosomal RNA is filed under the name uncultured bacterium. RNAcentral's name for it is "partial 16S ribosomal RNA". It matches the Rfam family "Bacterial small subunit ribosomal RNA", at positions 339 to 795 of the family's 1533-position model. The record is from RNAcentral.